This 484-nucleotide ribosomal RNA is filed under the name uncultured bacterium. RNAcentral describes it as "partial 16S ribosomal RNA". It matches the Rfam family "Bacterial small subunit ribosomal RNA", at positions 28 to 507 of the family's 1533-position model. The record is from RNAcentral.
AUUGAACGCUGGCGGCAUGCUUUACACAUGCAAGUCGAACGGCAGCGCGGGCUUCGGCCUGGCGGCGAGUGGCGAACGGGUGAGUAAUGCAUCGGAACGUGCCCAGUAGUGGGGGAUAGCCCGGCGAAAGCCGGAUUAAUACCGCAUACGACCUGAGGGUGAAAGCGGGGGACCGAAAGGCCUCGCGCUAUUGUGGCGGCCGAUGUCGGAUUAGCUAGGUGGUGGGGUAAAGGCUUACCAAGGCGACGAUCCGUAGCUGGUCUGAGAGGACGACCAGCCAGAUUGGGACUGAGGAUGGGCCCCGACUCCGAGGGGGAGACACAGUGGGGAAUUUUGGGGGAAGGGGGCAACCCUGAUCCAGCCAUGCCGCGUGAGGGAAGAAGGCCUUCGGGUUGUAAACCGCUUUUGUUCGGGAAGAAAUACUCUGGGCUAAUACCCCGGGGGGAUGACGGUACCGGAAGAAUAAGCACCGGCUAACUACGUG